UUGGAGGGCAAGUCUGGUGCCAGCAGCCGCGGUAAUUCCAGCUCCAAUAGCGUAUAUUAACGUUGCUGCAGUUAAAAAGCUCGUAGUUGAACCUCGGGGUCUACCCAUUGGUCAGGCUUAAUUGUCUGCACUGGUGAGAUGGAUCUCUACCUUCUGAGGAACUUUCAUGCCAUUUAUUUGGUGUGAUGGGAAAUCAGGACUGUUACUUUGAAAAAAUUAGAGUGUUUAAAGCAGACUAUCGUCUGAAUACAUUAGCAUGGAAUAAUGAAAUAGGACGGACUGAUUCUAUUUCGUUGGUUUCUAGGAUCACCGUAAUGAUUAAUAGGGAUAGUUGGGGGCAUUAGUAUUCAAUUGUCAGAGGUGAAAUUCUUGGAUUUAUUGAAGACUAACUACUGCGAAAGCAUUUGCCAAGGAUGUUUUCAUUAAUCAAGAACGAAAGUUAGGGGAUCGAAGACGAUCAGAUACCGUCGUAGUCUUAACCAUAAACUAUGCCGACUAGGGAUCGGACGAAGUUAAUUUUAUAAUGACGCGUUCGGCGCCUUACGGGAAAC
Molecule: ribosomal RNA, 551 nt
Filed under: uncultured Diversisporaceae
Lineage: Eukaryota; Fungi; Glomeromycota; Glomeromycetes; Diversisporales
Description: SSU rRNA
Rfam family: Eukaryotic small subunit ribosomal RNA
Source: RNAcentral